GGCGGCAGGCCUAACACAUGCAAGUCGAACGCUCGUAGCAAUACGAGAGUGGCAGACGGGUGAGUAACACGUGGGAACCUUCCCUUUGGUUCGGAAUAGCUCAGGGAAACUUGAGGUAAUACCGGAUAAGCCCUUACGGGGAAAGAUUUAUCGCCAUAGGAUGGGCCCGCGUCGGAUUAGCUAGUUGGUGAGGUAACGGCUCACCAAGGCGACGAUCCGUAGCUGGUCUGAGAGGAUGAUCAGCCACACUGGGACUGAGACACGGCCCAGACUCCUACGGGAGGCAGCAGUGGGGAAUAUUGGACAAUGGGCGCAAGCCUGAUCCAGCCAUGCCGCGUGAGUGACGAAGGCCUUAGGGUUGUAAAGCUCUUUUGGCGGGGAAGAUAAUGACGGUACCCGCAGAAUAAGCUCCGGCUAACUUCGUGCCAGCAGCCGCGGUAAUACGAAGGGAGCUAGCGUUGUUCGGAAUCACUGGGCGUAAAGCGCACGUAGGCGGAUGUGUCAGUCAGGGGUGAAAUCCCGGAGCUCAACUUCGGAACUGCCUUUGAUACAGCACGUCUUGAGUCCGAUAGA
This 573-nucleotide ribosomal RNA is filed under the name uncultured Alphaproteobacteria bacterium. RNAcentral's name for it is "bacterial SSU rRNA". It matches the Rfam family "Bacterial small subunit ribosomal RNA", at positions 38 to 655 of the family's 1533-position model. Lineage: Bacteria; Pseudomonadati; Pseudomonadota; Alphaproteobacteria. The record is from RNAcentral.